CAGCUCCAUGUGUGUUAUUGCCCUGAAGACCUUCCAAUGGAACAAGAGGUGGAGGUGGAAGACAGUGAUAUGGAUGACCCUGACCCUGUUAUUGAAAUUGGCAUCUUUGGGAGCUCGCUGUCAUCUCUUCACAAAACAUCCCCACGGAAAGCCAAACUUUCCCUUAGCAAGCGUGGCAACGUCCCAGAGUGCAGCCUGGAUCCCGUCAAGGAUAUCACAUGAUACUUCCUUGUCAUGUUUCCUUAGGCUCAUCUUGACUGUCCAUUUCUCAGACCUUCCUUGAUUUUGGUGACCUUGACAAUGUUGAGGAACAGUGGUCAGAAGUCACCAUGUGCAGCCUACAUUUAAUGAGUGGAGAGUUAUGCCCCGCCUCCUGGAGGAUGAACUAUCUACAUAAAUUAUUUGAAAUUCUUUUGCAUGGAAUAUUUUCUUAAUGUUAUUGUGAAAAUAAUUUUGACCUUGCAGAACCAUGAAAGGCUGUUCGGGAAAACCCCCAGAAGUCUGUAGACCAUACUUAGAGAAACACCAUUCCAUGCAAUGGAGGCAGGGGUGGAUGUGUCUGGAACCUGGGCACUAUACUUGCGUGUACCUUGAUGCUUCCAGGAUUCCCUAGAAAUCACUGUGGAAGGAUUAUUGCAGCCACUAUUGCUUGACAAGGGCUCAGACCCCUCAGGGUUACAAGUUUAAGUCCCUCAACCAGGCAAGCAACCCAGACCCAGCAAAGUGUGUUUGAA
This 734-nucleotide long non-coding RNA is filed under the name Homo sapiens (human). RNAcentral describes it as "HSALNT0309689". Lineage: Eukaryota; Metazoa; Chordata; Mammalia; Primates; Hominidae. The record is from RNAcentral.